Long non-coding RNA from Manduca sexta (tobacco hornworm), 1806 nucleotides. RefSeq lists it as uncharacterized. The transcript is spliced from 3 exons. Lineage: Eukaryota; Metazoa; Arthropoda; Insecta; Lepidoptera; Sphingidae. The record is from RefSeq and is a predicted model, not a curated record.
ACAAAUAAACGUGCUUGUUCUUGUUCUGAGAAUAAACGUCUCUCUCUGGUCUCUCUGCUCUCAUCUCUGGUUUUGAAACAGCGUGUACCGCCAUUUUGUAUUAUGGUUAACGUUUAGCCGCUUCUUUGAACCAAAGCUUUGAACCUCCGUGUAAUUUUGCGCUGCAAUUCGCUAUUUUAAUUUGAAGACGGUUUUCAUUUAUUUAUUAUCUAAUUAUUGUGUUUUAUGGUGUGCGAAUGUUUUUGUAAACAGUAUAUUAUAAAAGCAAUCAAUAAGUGUUUACCAGUUUAAACGAGUAAUUGCUUUCUUCGUAUACUUCGAUUUAUUUUGAUAAUAUAAUGGGUUAUAAGUGCUUUGUUCCCGGAUGCAGUAUUCGAGGCCGAGAUAUUAAAUAUUAUAGUGUGCCCUUUACAAACAUAAAAAGAUAGAACAUCUCAUUGGCAACCAAAGGGCAAAGUGGGAAUAUAUUGAGAGACUUUAUAAAGUGGAUGGUUUUGGUGGCAGAGCAAGAAGCACCAAACUUACUGAGUAGCACAUAAUUCCAACUUCAUAUGACAAAAUGAAGGUCAAAUUUGCAGCCCAAGUUUUUAGCAGGCAAGUGGCUACAUCACUAGAAGUCCAGGUGAAGUAUCUGCUAUCUCUCCAGGAUCUUCAAUGUAAUGAAGAUGUUUUUUAAAGUGUAUUAGCCACAUUUUUGUGGUUUUAAAUUAGCUAUUAUGCAUACUGUGUAUAGUAUAAAAUCAUAGUAGUCUUCAAAAUAAUCUUUAUUUUUGUGAUUAUUAAGCAGUUGUUAAAAUCUUUUUUUCAUAGUUAUGCUUGUACACCCUAAAAUGAACCUACCAGAUAAUUGUCUAGUAAAUAAAUUAAUGACCUACAAAAAGUAGUAUUUUGUGUAUGUUUCCAAAAUUAUUCAUAUUUUUAUUGAUUUACAAUGUGCAGAAGUAGUAAUUUUACUUUUUAAUUUAAUAUUUUAUUUUCACUAUAAUGUAUCCAACAUUUUCUGUAUUUUGUAGCAUUUUUACUUGCAAACAUGCCAUUAUAUAAUAUUGCAAAAUAAUAAAUUAUACAUGGAAUGCUUUUCAUGAGAGAAUAAUCAUAUUUAAGUAAAUUUAAGCAAAUUGUUAUAUUUUGUGGUUUUACAUUAUACCUACUGUAUAAUGCCACACCAUUCCUUACAUUGUGUAAAAUCAUAGUGAUAAUCUUCACAAUUAUCAUUAUUUUGCUAUCUGUUAAGCAAGCAGUUGUUAAAAUCUUAUUUGCAUAAUUAUGCUUGUACACCCUAAACUAAAAGUUUGUAUGUUUCCAAAAUUGUUCAUAUUCCUGUUCAUAUACUAUGUACAAAAAUAGUAAUUUUACCUUUUAUUUAAAAUCAUGUUUUCAAUAUAUGUAAAAUAUCUAACAUUUUUGUCUUUUGUCGCAUUUUUUUUAUAAAUGUGCCACUAGUCUAUUGUUCACUGGAAGCGAUAAAGCCCAUUGUAUUUUCAUUAUUUUUAAUUUUAUGUAAAUUGUUACUGAAUUUAUAUGCAAUCCAAUUUUGUGGUUUGUAUGUUGUUGUUGAUUUAUAUGACAAAAUAUUAAUUAGUGGAAAGCAACCAAUAUUGUAUGUAUAAUAAUUUUGUUGCAUUUAUGUUUAUAAUACUGAAUUGUAACGAUGAAAAUUAAAAUUAUGUUUAUAAAUGUAGGCACACUGCACGCUGUGUACUAUUCAUGUAUUUGCUUAAUGCUAGUCCCAUGUUUUAAUCCGUGCACCAACUUAUAUAAGCUAUGUGACUACUUUGUAUACAAUAAUAAUAUAUUUAAUAUCAG